AAAGGAAUUGACGGGGGCCCGCACAAGCGGUGGAGCAUGUGGUUUAAUUCGAUGCAACGCGAAGAACCUUACCAGGUCUUGACAUCCUACGGAUCUGUCUGAAAGGACGGAGUGCCUUCGGGAGCGUAGAGACAGGUGGUGCAUGGUUGUCGUCAGCUCGUGUCGUGAGAUGUUGGGUUAAGUCCCGCAACGAGCGCAACCCUUGCUAUUAGUUGCUAACAUUAAGAUGAGCACUCUAAUGGGACUGCCGGUGACAAGCCGGAGGAAGGUGGGGAUGACGUCAAAUCAUCAUGCCCUUUAUGACCUGGGCUACACACGUGCUACAAUGGAUGGUACAGAGAGCAGCAAGUCCGCGAGGCGAAGCGAAUCUCAAAAAGCCAUUCUCAGUUCGGAUUGGAGUCUGCAACUCGGCUCCAUGAAGUCGGAAUCGCUAGUAAUCGCGAAUCAGCAUGUCGCGGUGAAUGCGUUCCCGGGCCUUGUACACACCGCCCGU
Molecule: ribosomal RNA, 493 nt
Filed under: uncultured bacterium
Lineage: Bacteria
Description: bacterial SSU rRNA
Rfam family: Bacterial small subunit ribosomal RNA
Source: RNAcentral